Molecule: transfer RNA, 64 nt
Filed under: Ammothea clausi
Lineage: Eukaryota; Metazoa; Arthropoda; Pycnogonida; Pantopoda; Ammotheidae
Also listed under: 1 other name
Description: tRNA-Met
Source: RNAcentral
AAAAAGGUAAGCUAAAUUAAGCUUUUGGAUUCAUACCUCAAAUAUAGAUUAUUUCUCCUUUUUA